RNAcentral lists this ribosomal RNA (253 nucleotides) under uncultured bacterium. RNAcentral describes it as "partial 16S ribosomal RNA". It matches the Rfam family "Bacterial small subunit ribosomal RNA", at positions 524 to 776 of the family's 1533-position model. The record is from RNAcentral.
UACGUAGGGGGCUAGCGUUGUCCGGAUUUAUUGGGCGUAAAGAGCGUGUAGGCGGCUAGGUAGGUCCGUUGUGAAAACUAGAGGCUCAACCUCUAGACUUCGACCGAAACCACUUGGCUAGAGUCCGGAAGAGGAGAGUGGAAUUCCUGGUGUAGCGGUGAAAUGCGCAGAUAUCAGGAAGAACACCCGUGGCGAAGGCGGCUCUCUGGGACGGUACUGACGCUGAGACGCGAAAGCGUGGGGAGCGAACAGG